RNAcentral lists this ribosomal RNA (253 nucleotides) under uncultured bacterium. Its description in RNAcentral is "partial 16S ribosomal RNA". It matches the Rfam family "Bacterial small subunit ribosomal RNA", at positions 524 to 776 of the family's 1533-position model. The record is from RNAcentral.
UACGAAGGGGGCUAGCGUUGUUCGGAAUUACUGGGCGUAAAGGGCGCGUAGGCGGCCAUUCAAGUUAGGUGUGAAAGCCCUGGGCUCAACCUAGGAAUUGCACUUGAUACUGUUUGGCUUGAGUUCGGGAGAGGUGAGUGGAAUUCCCAGCGUAGAGGUGAAAUUCGUAGAUAUUGGGAAGAACACCAGUGGCGAAGGCGGCUUACUGGACCGACACUGACGCUGAGGCGCGAAAGCGUGGGGAGCAAACAGG